RNAcentral lists this ribosomal RNA (253 nucleotides) under uncultured bacterium. RNAcentral describes it as "partial 16S ribosomal RNA". It matches the Rfam family "Bacterial small subunit ribosomal RNA", at positions 524 to 776 of the family's 1533-position model. The record is from RNAcentral.
UACGAAGGGGGCUAGCGUUGUUCGGAAUUACUGGGCGUAAAGCGUGCGCAGGCGGCUUCUCAAGUCAGGGGUGAAAGCCCAGAGCUCAACUCUGGAAUUGCCUUUGAGACUGAGUGGCUUGAGUACGAGAGAGGUGAGUGGAAUUCCCAGUGUAGAGGUGAAAUUCGUAGAUAUUGGGAAGAACACCGGUGGCGAAGGCGGCUCACUGGCUCGUUUCUGACGCUCAGGCGCGACAGCGUGGGGAUCAAACAGG